GCGAGAGUGGCGGAAUUGGUAGACGCGCCAGAUUUAGGAUCUGGUGUCUUGCGGCGUGGGGGUUCGAGUCCCCCCUCUCGCACCA
Molecule: transfer RNA, 85 nt
Filed under: Desulfuromonas sp.
Lineage: Bacteria; Pseudomonadati; Thermodesulfobacteriota; Desulfuromonadia; Desulfuromonadales; Desulfuromonadaceae
Description: tRNA-Leu
Rfam family: tRNA
About the family: Transfer RNA (tRNA) molecules are approximately 80 nucleotides in length. Their secondary structure includes four short double-helical elements and three loops (D, anti-codon, and T loops).
Source: RNAcentral